Molecule: unclassified non-coding RNA, 213 nt
Filed under: Hevea brasiliensis (rubber tree)
Lineage: Eukaryota; Viridiplantae; Streptophyta; Magnoliopsida; Malpighiales; Euphorbiaceae
Source: RNAcentral
UUUGAUUAUUUACAAGAACCUGAUAUUGUUCUGUGGACAUCCAUGAUCGCAGGUUAUGUACAAAAUGGGGAGAAUGAAGAUGCUUUAAGCUUGUAUGGUAGAAUGCAGAGCAGAUGGAAGGGAUUUUGCCCAAUGAUCUAACAAUGGCCAGUGUCUUAAAAGCAUGUUCAAGCCUUGCUGCUCUGGAUCAAGGAAGACAGAUUCAUGCCCGCA